This 340-nucleotide long non-coding RNA is filed under the name Musa acuminata (dwarf banana). RNAcentral describes it as "long non-coding RNA (MACU_LNC005244)". Lineage: Eukaryota; Viridiplantae; Streptophyta; Magnoliopsida; Zingiberales; Musaceae. The record is from RNAcentral.
AGCAACGAGGCAGAUCUUUGAGGCCACGGGAUUCCAAAGAGAAGAAGGAGAUCAAGACAGAAAAGGAAGAGAAAGAAAGGGAAGAAGACAAGGACAACGCAGAUAGACUGUUCACAAUCAUCUAGCAGUGUUCUCAUCUCAGGUUAGAUCAAAUCUACAGUAGACUCUUGCUGUGAUUACUUGGGGAGGUUUUAGAUAUUGUGGGCAGUGACGUGAUCCUUGUAUCCCAGUUAUUCUCUUGUGGUUGUUGCUAGGGUUUUGGCCAAGAGAUUGAGAUUUGUAUAUUCAUUAUUCUCAUAGUGGAUUAUCUCUAGUUUUCCCCGUGGUUUUUACCCUUCAC